Molecule: ribosomal RNA, 253 nt
Filed under: uncultured bacterium
Lineage: Bacteria
Description: partial 16S ribosomal RNA
Rfam family: Bacterial small subunit ribosomal RNA
Source: RNAcentral
AACGUAGGAGACAAACGUUAUCCGGAGUUACUGGGCGUAAAGGGCGUGUAGGUGGUAUCGUAAGUCUGGCGUGAAAUUUCUCGGCUUAACCGAGGCAGGUCGUCGGAUACUGCGAGGCUAGAGGACGGUAGAGGCGUGUGGAAUUCCGGGUGUAGUGGUGAAAUGCGUAGAGAUCCGGAGGAACACCAGUGGCGAAAGCGACUUUCUGGUCCUUAACUGACGCUGAGGCGCGAAAGCAUGGGGAGCGAACGGG